RNAcentral lists this long non-coding RNA (2792 nucleotides) under Eutrema salsugineum. RNAcentral's name for it is "long non-coding RNA (ESAL_LNC001155)". The record is from RNAcentral. Lineage: Eukaryota; Viridiplantae; Streptophyta; Magnoliopsida; Brassicales; Brassicaceae.
UCAAUAUAGGACUAAAGCAGUGUGGAAGGAGAACUAGAGAUAUAGAGGAAAGAUAGGAAAGAGCGAGAGAGAGAGGGAUAAUGGGAAUUCACAGGUAAGGAAAUGCUUAAUUUAAAUAAGAAUUAAUAUACAAAUAAUAUAUAGUGAUGGAAGUUAAAUAGUUUUAAAGGCUAAUUUUGACAGGCUGUGAUAUUUGUGAAGGGAAGGAGGCCAGGAAAAAGCUGAAGGUUUGUCCAUCUAAUUCUCCUCUCUCUAACAGACAGACAAAACAGUAACUCCUUUUAAUAUAAAUAUUAUGGAUUUACUAGCUAUACAGUAUAUUUAUCUCUUACUUGAGAGUCCACCAUCCUCUGAGAAGAUCUUCUGUUAAUUUAAAUGCCACAAAAUAAAAUAGUGAAAGAAAAGUUUUUACUAUGUUAUAGUUUUAUCUCAAAAUAUGAAGUCCAAUAAUUUACAUAUAUUGCGUAUUAUUGAUAAAAUAUAGAAUCCUAAGUCUUUGAAAGUAGAUUCUGAAUAUUAUGUGUAGAUAAGUUUCUUAUAAGCAGGGGUAUGCAAUAAUUGGUUGUGUCGAUAUAAUAUAUAUAACACUGAUCAGAAGAUCAAGAGGAUUUGGACAAAUGAUGAAGCCCAAAAAAUUGAUUUCUUUAGCCAAUAUAUUCCAGACAAGCCCUCACUGGACAUGAUCAAGAUAUGCAUGUAACCAUAUAAACUAAAAUAAACAAUUAAAAUAUUAUAAUAACAACCAAUUGAAGACAAAGCUUCUAUCUUUUUUCUGCAACAAUACAAUGUCGUUUUGUUUUCUGUAUUAUGUCUAGAAAUUCAGAUGAUUCCUUUUUCUAUAUAUUCUUUUAGGGUCCCUUUUCUUAUAUCAAUACAAAUAAAAACGUAUAUAUUCUCCACCAUCAUCAUCCGUACUGGGUAUUAUCCAACCAUACCCAAAAAAUCCCAUGAUUAUCAUUUUUUAUCUGACACCAUGCAAGUUUAAUGAGAUAGAUCCUCUUAUAGUAUAUCACUUGUUAGAUUUUUUACAAAUGAAAUAAUAACUUUUCCAUUUUCUUUUACCUGUCUUGAGUUUUUUUUUUUAUAAAAAAAAACUAGCUUACGUAAUGAAUACUUUUUUAAACAUUAGUGAAUACUUUCUUACAAAACAAAAGAAGAAGAAUAUUAUCUUGUAUAUAUUUCAUGGAAAUAAAAUUAUAUGGUUGAUGUUUUCGGAGCUUCUAUCAAACUUAGAUUCAUAUAACUUUGUCGCGGUCAUUACUCCAGUGACUAAAUGCAUAUAGGCUGAAGUUGAACGACCUAACUUCCUAAUGAAAUUCAUAACGAAAACGCAUAUAGUUUUUAUUUCAGUUAAGACAAUUUAAAGUCUGAUGACGUUAUUAAAAUUUAAAUUGGUGACAGACUGACAGAUAACACCGAUCACGUUUAGGGUGGUGAAAUUUUUUCUGAAAGAGUCUAUAUAUAAUAAUGUAACUAUAUUAUUUCUUGGAGAUGAUUGGGAAAAAUUAUGACCGAUCGAUAACCUAUGAACUCCUAGAUUAUCAAAUAAUGAUGAUCUAAACUAAUUAUAGAUUGAGUUUAUGUAAACUUAUGUAAAAUGAUUAUUGCUUUUGUUUUAAAAUCCAUGGCCAAUGACAAAUGAGGGAUCAUAAUUAACAAACCCUAGAAAUAGAAAAUUAAGUUUCAUCAUAAGAUUCCAAGUUAAACAACCCCUUAAAGGAAUUUUUUUUGUCAGCACAUGAUUUUAGUGGCAUUUAAAGUUUAGUAUAAUUAAAUAUUUUUUAUUUGGCUUGUCUUCUACUUGUUUCGUUUUCUUCUCUCAAAGAAAUCUCGUCCUAACAUGGGGAUUCGCAAACGCACCGACUGAUUGAAAUAAUAUUUGAAUUAAAAUAGUUAACAUAUCAUAAUAUUAAUGAUUAUUACUUCAUUAUUUUAUUGAUAACUUAGCUAUAUAUAAUUGUAUUUGACUUAUCAAUAAUGUUGUUAUCUUAUAAUUUUUAUAUACAUGUGUGUAUAAUUAACCAGUGUAAAGUGUAUAUACAUAAAAAGCUAUCUUGAUUAAAAGCUCUUCUAACUAUAGAAUAUGGCAUAUAAAUUUAUCAUAAACUACCAAAGACUUUGAAACAAAACAAUAAUUUAUCAACGCGUUUAAUUUUGUCUCAAGUUCAUCAAUUUGUAACGAUGCUAAAAUGUUUUCUGCUGAUUUUCUAGUCGAUAACAAUCGGAUAAGUGAGAUUUUAAAUACUAUAUUAUAUUUUAUUUGGAGUUCAUAGAUCUAACCAAUCUUUCAAGUUUCAACUAAGUGCCGGUGCAUUAAGAAACACAUCUCAUCGUGGUUUGCUAUUACCAUCCUUGAAUCCAGAUCCCAAAAUGAUUACUGUAUUUCAGUAUUAAAAAAUCAACAAUUUUAAAAACCAUAUUGAUGUGCGGUUAUUAUUUAAUUCCAGGAUUUUGUAAUAGAAAAAUCAAAUGAUUCCAUCCGCAGAUGCAUGCGUAUGUUAUUAAAUAUUUUAAUUGUAAUAAACGAAUUAAUGUGAUUGUAGAGAAAAAGAGCUGGCUGGAUGAGGCGGAGCCGCGGAGCCAUGUGAGAAGAGAAGCAGGGAGGAAACUCGAAGGAUUUUUAUAUAAAGUAAAAUAAAAAUAAUUAAUUAUAUUAUAUUCUAAACCCAAACCAAACAUGAUAUCAAGUACAAUACUUAACAGUAACUAGAGACACGAUAAUUGCUUUAAUUGGCUUAAAUAAAAUCAGAUUUGUUUAGAGUUCCAAAGUUUGAAUCUGCAGGUCAACAUCU